Molecule: non-coding RNA, 83 nt
Organism: Natranaerobius trueperi
Lineage: Bacteria; Bacillati; Bacillota; Clostridia; Natranaerobiales; Natranaerobiaceae
Source: Rfam
UAAGCAUGGUCGAGAGGCUAUGUUGAACAGCAGACGUCAGCAGAGGUUAUAGUACUUGGUAGCUUAAGAUAUCAAAGAAGGAC